RNAcentral lists this ribosomal RNA (429 nucleotides) under uncultured archaeon. Its description in RNAcentral is "bacterial SSU rRNA". It matches the Rfam family "Archaeal small subunit ribosomal RNA", at positions 474 to 903 of the family's 1478-position model. The record is from RNAcentral.
UACCAGCUCUCCGAGUUGUAGGGAUGAUUAUUGGGCUUAAAGCGUUCGUAGCUGGCUUAGCAAGUCUCCUGUUAAAUUCAGCGACCUAAUCGUUGAGCCGCGGGAGAUACUAUUAGGCUAGGAGGCGGGAGAGGUCGACGGUACUUUCGGGGUAGGGGUGAAAUCCUAUAAUCCCGGGAGGACCACCAGUGGCGAAGGCUGUCGACUAGAACGCGCUCGACGGUGAGGGACGAAAGCUGGGGGAGCGAACCGGAUUAGAUACCCGGGUAGUCCCAGCUGUAAACUAUGCGGGCUAGGUGUUGGGGUGGCUACGGGCCACUUCAGUGCCGCAGGAAAGCCAUUAAGCCCGCCGCCUGGGGAGUACGGCCGCAAGGCUGAAACUUAAAGGAAUUGGCGGGGGAGCACCACAAGGCGUGAAGCUUGCGGUUC